RNAcentral lists this ribosomal RNA (68 nucleotides) under Lactarius cinereus. RNAcentral's name for it is "partial 28S ribosomal RNA". The record is from RNAcentral. Lineage: Eukaryota; Fungi; Basidiomycota; Agaricomycetes; Russulales; Russulaceae.
UCUCGARCCCACGAACCCUUGACCUCAAAUCGGGUGAGACUACCCGCUGAACUUAAGCAUAUCAAUAA